UGCAGACACAGUGAACCUGCUGCCU
This 25-nucleotide non-coding RNA is filed under the name Mus musculus (house mouse). The record is from RNAcentral. Lineage: Eukaryota; Metazoa; Chordata; Mammalia; Rodentia; Muridae.